GACGAACGCUGGCGGCGUGCUUAAUACAUGCAAGUCGAGCGCUGAAGCUUGGUACUUGUACCAACUGGAUGAGCAGCGAACGGGUGAGUAACGCGUGGGGAAUCUGCCUUUGAGUGGGGGACAACCUUGGGAAACGGGUGCUAAUACCGCAUAAGAACUUUAAACACAAGGUUUAAUGUUGAAAGAGGCAAUUUCGUCAUUUAAGGGUGAUCGCCCGGUGUAUUAGCUGGUUGGUGAGUUAAAGACGCAUCAAGGCGAUGAUAGGUGGCCGGCCUGAGAGGGUGACCGGCCACAAUGGGACUGGGAAGCGGCCCAGACGCAUUCGGGGGGCAGCAGUGGAGGAUAUAGCACGCUGGGCGGAAGCAUGAAGCAGCGACUCCGCGUGGGAGAUGACGGUUGGCGGGUUGUAAACCUCUUGCGGCUGGGAAGAAGCGAAAGUGACGGUAAGUGCACAAAAAGCGCCGGCUAACUACGUG
This 476-nucleotide ribosomal RNA is filed under the name uncultured bacterium. Its description in RNAcentral is "partial 16S ribosomal RNA". It matches the Rfam family "Bacterial small subunit ribosomal RNA", at positions 28 to 507 of the family's 1533-position model. The record is from RNAcentral.